Molecule: long non-coding RNA, 313 nt
Organism: Syngnathus typhle (broad-nosed pipefish)
Lineage: Eukaryota; Metazoa; Chordata; Actinopteri; Syngnathiformes; Syngnathidae
Exons: 2
Source: RefSeq, a predicted model, not a curated record
CUUCACUUCCUCGCCUUUCAGGUGGCGGAUUCCUCUGAAUGACAUGUCGAGCUCUUCGCACGCAACUCCGCCUCACAAACAGUGCGCGCGCACGCCACGCGCACACGCUCAUACGGAUACAAGCUACACGAGACUCUACUUCUGAAUUCUGUGACUUACCUGUGUCCUUGCUCUUGACUGCCCAGACGGCACUGAUGUCACUUACUCCCUGGGUACCAGCGGGUGCCGAUACAGCGUGAGCAGAACUUGCAGGUUUGACAUCAGCUUUCAUGGUGGCGUCCAAGGAGGUUUCUGCGUCAUCAGGGAACGGAGC